AGGGCACCACCAGGAGUGGAGCCUGCGGCUUAAUUUGACUCAACACGGGAAAACUCACUCGGCCCGGACACUGGAAGGAUUGACAGAUUGAGAGCUCUUUCUUGAUUCAGUGGGUGGUGGUGCAUGGCCGUUCUUAGUUGGUGGAGUGAUUUGUCUGGUUAAUUCCGAUAACGAACGAGACUCUAGCCUACUAAAUAGAUCGUCGGCUUACAAACGCCGGCGAGACUUCUUAGAGGGACAGGCGGUGAUUCAACCGCACGAAACAGAGCAAUAACAGGUCUGUGAUGCCCUUAGAUGUCCGGGGCCGCACGCGCGCUACACUGAAGUGAUCAGCGUGCUUUUUCAACCUACUCUGUCAAGAGUGGGGAACCCAAUGAACCUUCUUCGUGAUUGGGAUAGGGGAUUGUAAUUGUUCCCCUUGAACGAGGAAUUCCCAGUAAGCGCGAGUCAUAAGCUCGCGUUGAUUACGUCCCUGCCCUUUGUACACACCGCCCGUCGCUACUACCGAUUGAAUGUUUU
RNAcentral lists this ribosomal RNA (519 nucleotides) under uncultured eukaryote. RNAcentral describes it as "SSU rRNA". It matches the Rfam family "Eukaryotic small subunit ribosomal RNA", at positions 1161 to 1699 of the family's 1831-position model. The record is from RNAcentral.